CGCGUGGUAAUCCAAAUGGAAGAGGUGCCAGACCGAGAAUCUGGUUGUUGUGGGUUCGAAUCCCACCCACGCGA
This 74-nucleotide transfer RNA is filed under the name Sulfidibacter corallicola. It matches the Rfam family "tRNA". From Rfam's summary of the family: Transfer RNA (tRNA) molecules are approximately 80 nucleotides in length. Their secondary structure includes four short double-helical elements and three loops (D, anti-codon, and T loops). Lineage: Bacteria; Pseudomonadati; Acidobacteriota; Holophagae; Acanthopleuribacterales; Acanthopleuribacteraceae. The record is from Rfam by way of RNAcentral.